RNAcentral lists this long non-coding RNA (528 nucleotides) under Taeniopygia guttata (zebra finch). RNAcentral's name for it is "lncRNA (ENSTGUG00000020563.1)". Lineage: Eukaryota; Metazoa; Chordata; Aves; Passeriformes; Estrildidae. The record is from RNAcentral.
CCGCAUGGCCCUCGGGUGGGCUCCGGCGCUGGGCUGCCACGCUUAGAGCUGGCACUGCCACCACCCCCGCCCCGCAGCGCGGAGCAGGGUCCCCACGCCGCCCCGGGACCCAUGGGGGCAGCCGGGGGGCAGCGGGCGGUGGGGCUGGGGGGCACAGGGCACUGGGCAGGAUUUUAGCCAGGCUUCGCCAGGACCCACCCGCUGCCAUGAGAGACUUCACCGAAAUCACGCUUUGCCCCGAGGCUCUGGAUGGCAGCAAGACCGAGUUCUGCAACCCCGUUUUCGAGGGCGAGGAGCCCCGGGAGGCACCGAGCGAGGAGCAGCCACCGGACAAGGAUGGGACGGAACCCGAACCACGGCGGGACGGCCUCGGCCAGCAGCUCUGGGCACAGGCGGGCUGGAGGUACCGCGCCGACUGCAAGUUCACCUGGCUCUGCGUGGCUCUGAUGAGCGCCAUCCUGCUCUUCCUCAUCGCCCUCCUGCUCGGCAUCCUCACCCACCGUGAGUGCCGAGCGGGAGGGAGGUGGC